GGUUUGGUUCUUUUUGUCUUGGAGCUUCUUACAUGGUUGAUGACGGCAUAUUUGAAUUGGCCUCCGUUUACUGAGAAUGAUACACUCGCGACUACCUGAGAUUGAGAGGUUGUGUUCACCUCGUCACUCUCAGCGAUGGGUUUCCUCGGUUACAGGACUGGUGUUUGCUUCUUUCUAUGGCUCGGUUGUUCCAGUUGCAGCAGUUGUGGUGGUGGAUUCGACGGAAUUUCUCUUGUGAGCCGAUGGUUGCAUGUUCUGGGAGAUGCUUCUCGAUUCCUUGGGUUGGUUCGGUUGGAUUUUGCUGUUUGGUUUCUACGGUUUGAUCUUUAGGUUGUUUUACUACAUUGGGUUGGCUGUAUUAUUAGGUUGGACUAGUCUUUCUUUGGCUCUGUCUCUGUUUUCCUCUGUUGUAAUGUUAAUUUUGAAUCUUAUUAAUGUAAUCUUUUUGCAUGGUCAAAGAAAAAAAAUAAUAAAGACGACCACCUGACUAAAAAAUCUACAUCAC
This 505-nucleotide long non-coding RNA is filed under the name Manihot esculenta (cassava). RNAcentral's name for it is "long non-coding RNA (MESC_LNC003587)". Lineage: Eukaryota; Viridiplantae; Streptophyta; Magnoliopsida; Malpighiales; Euphorbiaceae. The record is from RNAcentral.